Molecule: non-coding RNA, 72 nt
Organism: Parelaphostrongylus tenuis
Lineage: Eukaryota; Metazoa; Nematoda; Chromadorea; Rhabditida; Metastrongylidae
Source: the annotation of a GenBank genome assembly
AGCUCUGUGGUGUAGUGGUAGCACGCGUCCCCGAUAUGGAUAAAACGUGGGUUCGACUCCCGUCUGAGGCUG